RNAcentral lists this ribosomal RNA (674 nucleotides) under uncultured Lachnospiraceae bacterium. RNAcentral's name for it is "bacterial SSU rRNA". It matches the Rfam family "Bacterial small subunit ribosomal RNA", at positions 47 to 721 of the family's 1533-position model. The record is from RNAcentral. Lineage: Bacteria; Bacillati; Bacillota; Clostridia; Lachnospirales; Lachnospiraceae.
CUUAACACAUGCAAGUCGAGCGAAGCACCUUGACGGAUUUCUUCGGAAUGAAGUUUUGGUGACUGAGCGGCGGACGGGUGAGUAACGCGUGGGUAACCUGCCUCAUACAGGGGGAUAACAGUUGGAAACGGCUGCUAAUACCGCAUAAGCGCACUGUACCGCAUGGUACCGUGUGAAAAACUCCGGUGGUAUGAGAUGGACCCGCGUCUGAUUAGCUAGUUGGUGGGGUAACGGCCUACCAAGGCGACGAUCAGUAGCCGACCUGAGAGGGUGACCGGCCACAUUGGGACUGAGACACGGCCCAAACUCCUACGGGAGGCAGCAGUGGGGAAUAUUGCACAAUGGGGGAAACCCUGAUGCAGCGACGCCGCGUGAGCGAUGAAGUAUUUCGGUAUGUAAAGCUCUAUCAGCAGGGAAGAAAAUGACGGUACCUGACUAAGAAGCCCCGGCUAACUACGUGCCAGCAGCCGCGGUAAUACGUAGGGGGCAAGCGUUAUCCGGAUUUACUGGGUGUAAAGGGAGCGUAGACGGCAUGGCAAGCCAGAUGUGAAAGCCCGGGGCUCAACCCCGGGACUGCAUUUGGAACUGUCAGGCUAGAGUGUCGGAGAGGAAAGCGGAAUUCCUAGUGUAGCGGUGAAAUGCGUAGAUAUUAGGAGGAACACCAGUGGCGAAGG